UACGGAGGAUGCAAGCGUUAUCCGGAAUGAUUGGGCGUAAAGCGUCCGCAGGUGGCUAUGUAAGUCUGCUGUUAAAGAGUUUGGCUUAACCAAAUAAGAGCAGUGGAAACUACAUAGCUAGAGUGCGUUCGGGGCAGAGGGAAUUCCUGGUGUAGCGGUGAAAUGCGUAGAGAUCAGGAAGAACACCGGUGGCGAAAGCGCUCUGCUAGGCCGCAACUGACACUGAGGGGCGAAAGCUAGGGGAG
RNAcentral lists this ribosomal RNA (245 nucleotides) under uncultured bacterium. RNAcentral's name for it is "partial 16S ribosomal RNA". It matches the Rfam family "Bacterial small subunit ribosomal RNA", at positions 524 to 768 of the family's 1533-position model. The record is from RNAcentral.